CUCUGGGGAAAUCUUCCGGCUUAACCGGAAGGCGUCUCAGGGAUACUGGCAGACUAGGGACCGGAAGAGGUGAGGGGUACUCCAGGGGUAGGAGUGAAAUCCUGUAAUCCUUGGGGGACCACCUGUGGCGAAGGCGCCUCACCAGAACGGCUCCGACAGUGAGGGACGAAAGCUGGGGGAGCAAACCGGAUUAGAUACCCGGGUAGUCCCAGCCGUAAACGAUGUGCGUUAGGUGUAUCGGUGACCACGAGUCACCGAGGUGCCGAAGAGAAAUCGUGAAACGUACCGCCUGGGAAGUACGGUCGCAAGGCUGAAACUUAAAGGAAUUGGCGGGGGAGCACCACAACAGGUGGAGCCUGCGGUUUAAUCGGACUCAACGCCGGAAAACUCACCAGAUAAGACAGCUGAAUGAUAGUCGGGCUGAAGACUCUACUUGACUAGCUGAGAGGAGGUGCAUGGCCGUCGUCAGUUCGUACUGUGAAGCAUA
RNAcentral lists this ribosomal RNA (487 nucleotides) under uncultured Methanomicrobiaceae archaeon. Its description in RNAcentral is "bacterial SSU rRNA". It matches the Rfam family "Archaeal small subunit ribosomal RNA", at positions 539 to 1025 of the family's 1478-position model. Lineage: Archaea; Methanobacteriati; Methanobacteriota; Methanomicrobia; Methanomicrobiales; Methanomicrobiaceae. The record is from RNAcentral.